GGGGAUCUGGCUCAGUGGAAGAGCGCUUGCCUAGUAAGCACAAGGCCCUGGGUUCGGUCCCCAGCUCCG
RNAcentral lists this transfer RNA (69 nucleotides) under Rattus norvegicus (Norway rat). It matches the Rfam family "tRNA". From Rfam's summary of the family: Transfer RNA (tRNA) molecules are approximately 80 nucleotides in length. Their secondary structure includes four short double-helical elements and three loops (D, anti-codon, and T loops). Lineage: Eukaryota; Metazoa; Chordata; Mammalia; Rodentia; Muridae. The record is from Rfam by way of RNAcentral.